Molecule: long non-coding RNA, 789 nt
Filed under: Equus caballus (horse)
Lineage: Eukaryota; Metazoa; Chordata; Mammalia; Perissodactyla; Equidae
Description: lncRNA (ENSECAG00000030674.3)
Source: RNAcentral
GACGUCUGUGCAAAUGCUGUUCAGCUCUCCGGGUCAUUCAGUAUUUGCGAGCAGUAAAUGAAAUUGUCCAAAUUUGUUUUCUCAUGAAAAUGUCAGCUGGAGCGCUUAAACCUGGAGGCAAGAUGUUACGUCUGGAACUCUAGGAUCCUCCUUCAUGUCUGCUGCUGGCUGUGUCAGGGCCAUGGCAGGAAGUUGCCAACACAGCCCAGAGUCCUGCAGAUACAACGUGGAGCGGCCUCAGAGAGGAGGAGAGCCUCCUUUUUGGAAUUUUUUGCUCUAUUUCAUCAGUGGAAUCAAGGAAGUGUCUUCCAACAUUUCUUUAGUUGUGUUCUCUAAGAUGCUGCAAAGGACAGAAAAACAUGUCCAGACGGGGCCACUCCUUUUUCCCAAGUCACUGAAUGGAGCCAACGUGGAGCACCAUAGCCAAACUGUCAGGACUUUGUCAUGUUCCAUUUUGCUGCCUUUUACUUCUUCGCCAUCUGAAGAUAAGCAGGUUGCCACCCUGGACCACACCUCUAACAGCAUCUCUGCAGUGGCGUGCUGGGUGAGGCAGAGAACAACUCUAGGAGGCAUUGUUGUCUGCAAAGGCAAAGACUUUUGUGGGGACCGUUUGUGGGUUCAACCUUCUCCACACGCUUGUGGUGUCAUACCAAUGGGCUCUGUGUAGCCUCUUCAGGGAUCCCCAGCUGUCUUUACUGCUCACAACUCUAUUAUCUUCUGAAGUCUUGCAGCUUAUAAAAUAGCUAUUUUGGCCAAAGCCGUACAAUAAAGAAUCAUAUUUGACUCUCA